GUGGGGAAUUUUGGACAAUGGGCGCAAGCCUGAUCCAGCAAUGCCGCGUGCAGGAAGAAGGCCUUCGGGUUGUAAACUGCUUUUGUACGGAACGAAACGGUCCGGGUUAAUACCCUGGGCUAAUGACGGUACCGUAAGAAUAAGCACCGGCUAACUACGUGCCAGCAGCCGCGGUAAUACGUAGGGUUCAAGCGUUAAUCGGAAUUACUGGGCGUAAAGCGUUCGCAGGCGGUUUUGUAAGACAGGCGUGAAAUCCCCGGGCUCAACCUGGGAAUUGCGCUUGGGACUGCAAGGCUGGAGUGCGGCAGAGGGGGAUGGAAUUCCGCGUGUAGCAGUGAAAUGCGUAGAUAUGCGGAGGAACACCGAUGGCGAAGGCAAUCCCCUGGGCCUGCACUGACGCUCAUGCACGAAAGCGUGGGGAGCAAACAGGAUUAGAAACCCUGGUAGUCC
RNAcentral lists this ribosomal RNA (450 nucleotides) under uncultured bacterium. RNAcentral's name for it is "partial 16S ribosomal RNA". It matches the Rfam family "Bacterial small subunit ribosomal RNA", at positions 354 to 796 of the family's 1533-position model. The record is from RNAcentral.